GAAUAAAGCUGCUAUGAACAUCCUUGUGUAUGUCUUGGGUAUACAGAUGGUCCUGGCUUACAAUGAUUGGAUUUAAAAUUGUUUGACUUUAUGAUGGGCUUAUCAGGGUAUUAAAUGUGUUUCUGACUUACAGUAUUUUUGACUUACCACGUGUUUAUUGGGACGUAACCCCUUCCUAAGAUGAAGAGCAUCUGUAUACAUCCAGAAUCCUGUGGAGCAACUCAUAACCCAUGAGGAAUGGAAGCCGACAGACAGACUCAUCCCCAGGACAGGUGGUUCUCACUACAUCUCAUAAAGCUUCUUAGAAGAUCUUACAGGAUUGAGCAACCAGCCAGCCACAGCAGGGGCCAACUGGAUAACACGUCUUUGCAUAGGCUCUCCCUCUGUCCCUGUCACCCUCCCCUUUUCCUAACCUUGUUCCUUGGGAUUAUGUUUUGAAAUAAAUUAUUCAGAGAAAUGAAGCCAAAGCUGACCCAUUAGCCAAUAGCUAGGUUCUGUGAUGACAGAGCUUCUGGGCUAUAAUCGUUUACUGAGAAGCCAGCGUUCCUGAGGGGAUAAUGGCUCGUUCCAUUCAGCUGCAGCAUAGGAGUGAGGGCAGGGCAUUAGCAGAAGAUAACACCAGAAACGUGCUCUGGGGCCUGUUGAUGACUUUCUGUGCCAAGCACAGACAUUUAGCCUUUAUUCUGUAUGUGAUGGGAAGCCAGUGCCAGUGGUGGGUUUGAGCAGGGAACCAGCAACCAGUGGUGGGUUUGAGCAGGGAACCAGCAAUACUCAAGCUCUGCUUGGAUGGAGGCCAGUCAGGGAGGAGUUAGGGCAGGAGGACCAGUCAGGGAGGAGACUUAGGGCAGGAGGACCAGUCAGGGAGGAGACUUAGGGCAGGAGGACCGGACCGGUCAGGGAGGAGACUUAGGGCAGGAGGACUGGUCAGGGAGGAGUUAGGGCUGGAGGACCGGUCAGGGAGGAGUUAGGGCAGGAGGACUGGUCAGGGAGGAGUUAGGGCAGGAGGACAGGUCAGGGAGGAGUUAGGGCAGGAGGAUCGGUCAGGGAGGAGUUAGGGCAGGAGGACCGGUCAGGGAGGAGUUAGGGCAGGAGGACCGGUCAGGGAGGAGUUAGGGCAGGAGGAC
RNAcentral lists this long non-coding RNA (1124 nucleotides) under Homo sapiens (human). RNAcentral describes it as "HSALNT0067218". Lineage: Eukaryota; Metazoa; Chordata; Mammalia; Primates; Hominidae. The record is from RNAcentral.